GACGGAGGGUGCAAGCGUUGUUCGGAAUCACUGGGCGUAAAGCGCGUGUAGGCGGUCCGAAAAGUCGAGUGUGAAAUCCCGAGGCUCAACCUCGGAAGUGCAUUCGAAACUCUCGGGCUUGAGUACGGGAGAGGGAAGCGGAAUUGCUGGUGUAGAGGUGAAAUUCGUAGAUAUCAGGAGGAACACCGGUGGCGAAGGCGGCUUCCUGGCCCGAUACUGACGCUGAGACGCGAAAGCGUGGGGAGCAAACAGG
Molecule: ribosomal RNA, 253 nt
Filed under: uncultured bacterium
Lineage: Bacteria
Description: partial 16S ribosomal RNA
Rfam family: Bacterial small subunit ribosomal RNA
Source: RNAcentral